Molecule: transfer RNA, 138 nt
Filed under: Zoogloeaceae bacterium
Lineage: Bacteria; Pseudomonadati; Pseudomonadota; Betaproteobacteria; Rhodocyclales; Zoogloeaceae
Description: tRNA-Leu
Source: RNAcentral
GCGCGGGAUUCCGGGAUGUGCGGAAUUCAAAUUUACAGAACAAAAUCAAGGUUAAGUUGUUGUUUUACAACAAAACAAAUCAUGAUUUAGGUUCCAGCGCCGCAAGGCGUGCGGGUUCGAGUCCCGCCCCGCGCACCA